RNAcentral lists this ribosomal RNA (253 nucleotides) under uncultured bacterium. RNAcentral's name for it is "partial 16S ribosomal RNA". It matches the Rfam family "Bacterial small subunit ribosomal RNA", at positions 524 to 776 of the family's 1533-position model. The record is from RNAcentral.
UACGUAGGGUGCGAGCGUUGUCCGGAAUUACUGGGCGUAAAGAGCUCGUAGGUGGUUUGUCGCGUUGUUCGUGAAAACUCACAGCUCAACUGUGGGCGUGCGGGCGAUACGGGCAGACUGGAGUACUGCAGGGGAGACUGGAAUUCCUGGUGUAGCGGUGGAAUGCGCAGAUAUCAGGAGGAACACCGGUGGCGAAGGCGGGUCUCUGGGCAGUAACUGACGCUGAGGCGCGAAAGCGUGGGGAGCGAACAGG